This 124-nucleotide non-coding RNA is filed under the name uncultured Bolidomonas. Lineage: Eukaryota; Bolidophyceae. The record is from RNAcentral.
CGUAAGUUUCAAUACACGAAAAGACAAGAGAAAGAGAAAGUAGAAAACAAAGGGCAUUUGAAGAAAAUCUCGUAAGCGCCUUGUUUUUUUUUAAAUUUAAGCUCGUCCGCCUUUUUAAUUUACC